Long non-coding RNA from Siniperca chuatsi (mandarin fish), 6513 nucleotides. RefSeq lists it as uncharacterized. The record is from RefSeq and is a predicted model, not a curated record. Lineage: Eukaryota; Metazoa; Chordata; Actinopteri; Centrarchiformes; Sinipercidae. The transcript is spliced from 2 exons.
UCAUCCCGGUGGCUUCACUUCAGACUGCAAACUGCCCCAAUGCGAGCUGAAGGUCACGGUCUGAUGGUCAUGUCUGCACGGCAGAUAUGAAGCUUUACAGCCAGAGGCCGCUUAGCUUAGCUUAGCAUAAAGACUGGAAACAGGGGUAAACAGCCAGCCUGCCUCUGUCCAAGGUAACAAAAUCCACCUACCUCACUGAUUAACACUUUUCUUUAAAACGGAAUAACCCCCUGCUGGCUGUAGCCAUAUUUAGUGUACAGAUAUGAGAGUGGUAAUGAUCUUCUCAUCUAACUCUCCACAAGACAGUGACAAUUAUUCAAACUACUGGUUGAACACACAGACAUUAGAUAGAUAUCCAUCUUCUCAUCUCACUCUCAGAAAGACAAUAAAAGUCCAUCAAAUCCUUUAUUUCAUGUGCAAUAUUUGCAUUCAACUAUUUAUUGAAACUUCCUUAUUCCCUCACUUAAUUUGUGUCUCAAAACAGUUUCAUACUGUUUUUAUAUGGUUUAUUUAGUAUCUGUAUUUAUUCUUAUUCUUCAUGCUCCAUUAUAGUAGAUGAUCGUUUACGCACAUAAACAAACUGCUGUAAAGGAAAAACACACUGGUUGCAAAAUAUUUUAUUUAGUGUGAAAUAAAGUCAUCAAAAAUACAAAAUAUUACAUAAACACUUCUCAAAUUACAAAUUAUGAAUCAUCCAGCACAUGCAGUCAUUAAGUGCUUACAAGAGGAAAUCUAGAGAGAAUUAUCUGGAAAAGGAGGAGAGAGAGCGAAAGCGGUAAGAGGAAGGGUAAAAAGUGUGGAUUUGUGUCAGUAGUUAAAGUUUAGCGUGGUUGGUUUCAGAGCAGACAUGUUUGCUCCACUCACAGUCUGAAGUGUACGGAGUAUAAAUAGGACGAUAAAUUAAACAGAAAAACUAAACAUUGGUCAAAAUGUGAAGUUUCUAACAAAGACUGUUUGUGGAAAGCAGCAAUUAGAGGCAACAAUGGAGACUCAAGUUCCACUUAAAUACACAAACAAAAGCAUCUCAUUUAUAUAACCUGUCUGUCCGCAUCAUCUCACACACAAAGACAGAUACACACAUGUGAACAUGCAGGUUUGCAGGUUUUUUAUUAGAAAAUAAUUGACUUUUUCAUAUAAUCAGCCAAUGAGUUUGUUUAUGAGAGCCGAAAGUCAGAAUUUGAUGAUCCUAACGUGAUUAGUCAGUUAUGAAAAGCUCUAUUAAUCUUCUGCCAAGUGACUGAAAAAUUGAGUAAUUGUGUGUCAUUCACACAAAUUGAGGAACAUGCAAACAGGCCCACUUUUGUAAAAAGAAAGAAUUCCCCAUCACCAUCAUUUUGACUUAACCCUAAGUCUACCCUCAACCCUAAAACCAAGUUCUAACCCUCAAACAUCUGUUUGAAGAAGUGAGGACCGGACAGAAACUUUUCUCAUUAUGUAAAACUGUGUUUACUCUCCAAAAAUGUCUUCAGUUUCAAAAUGUCCUCACUUUACAAUAAUGUCUAGUUGGUCCUCACAAAGCUAGAAGUACACCAUCACACAUGAUGACAUCAGCACAGUUUACAUUAACAGACUUACCACAUAACUCAGUCUCAGGGCUCAUAUAACACAGAUUUCAACACACACUCAGAUCCAGCGGUCAGCCAGCCAAGAAAGAUGCAUCACACACACAUUGACACAUGUUCUACACACACACUCGAAGUAGCUCAGGUCGCUGUAUUGAGUAUCGAUAGUUUGUCGCACUGAUCAACACAAAACAUCGAGUCUUACUAGCAUCCCAUAGACGUUGCAAAGUUUAUUACACACUAGUCUGAAAGUGUUGGACAGAACAAACAACAUCAAGAUGAUUUUAUCUAUUCUUAGAGUCUCUUCAAAACCUCUUCUUUCCAGUACCCAGCACAGUCGCCACGGCCCAGCUCGAGUUGUCUUGGCUAGAGGUCAGGAUUUCUAGAUUUGAAAAUCUGGUUCUUCCCUGACCUCAAGUUUUGCGACAUUUUUCAAAAACCAAGUUGGUGUGGAGUUACAAGGAUUACAUUAUCAAGGUCCACCAGAAGGACAAGCCCCCAUCACAGGACCGGAGGUGCUGCCAUAACGGGGAUGUUUGCACCGAUCAAGCGGUGCUGCCGGUCAUACUCGUGUAACUUGGAAAGGUGUUGUGAGGCAUGCCGUGGAUGGCUACGCUUCUCGACAAAGAUGGAGCGAUGAGACUCUGUUACGACAGAUUGUCCAGCACACAUCUUGAUGCUUGUUUUUCGUACUGCUGGUCACGCAGACCAGGAGCCAGUUAACAACAAGAAGGCCUGUGCAGCCUCGCUGACUACCAAGGCCACGGGCAAGGCGCAACGUAUACGCGAGAGUGCAUCGAUCGCCACAAAAAACAUGCAGUGGCCUCAACAAUGUCCCUCUUCCCCCAUCUUUGCCACUGAGAGCAAAACAGACAUUUUAUUCAUACGACCACGAAGGUCGAUUGUCAGGAAAAUGUAAACUGAGGUCUGUAAGUGUUUAAACAAAUGAGCAAUGCUGUUGUUUCUCUGGUGAAGACAGUCUCCUGUUUCAGACAGUUUACACUGACGCUGUUUAAAGAGCUAUUAAAAUACAUUUCUCUCGUUGGGGGGUGGUCCGCAGCUGAUCCCGUCUCCCAGCGCUCUGCCUUCUCCUCCAAAGCCUCAGAGAGCAGCUCAGCUAGCUUGUUUCCUUUUUAUCUACAAGUGAAACUGUUUAAGAAGGUAUGUGCGUCCACCCAGAGGGCUGAGCCUGGGUGAUUAGGAGUAUUAGGAGCUUAAAGCAGAUGUUUGGGCACACAGUACCCACCUGCAGUCAGCUCAGGUCACGUCUAUAUUAGAUCUCCAGACAUCUCUUCCUCUUCUCCUCGGCUGCAGUUUUCUUUUGCUUGUUCUGUUCUGCUCUUUUUCAGAAUAUUUAUAGCGUGUUGUGACCUCGGGCCUUGUCAGCGUUGGUCGACCGGUGUCAGUCUCUCAGAAUCGAAGAGGAAAGGGCUUCUUUUUGUACCAACGUUCAACAAUCACAAAAGUAGAUAUUCAUGGUAGAAAAUAAGACUUUCAACGCCAAGGGAGCAGGAAAUGGUCCAGAAUGCAAUGCAGCAAUAACAGGUGGAAUUUGAGUAAACAGUGACUGCUCGACAUGCUUCUGUCCACCAUCAGGCUUGACGUUUUCUGCAGCAUAUUGUUUUUCUUCUUCAGGUCCUUGUAGCUGGUUAAAGUCCUAAUGUCGAGAAGCAGUUGAAGACAGUUGAGUGGAGUGGAAAACAACUCUGUCUGUCUGUUACACCAGGAAAUCAAAACCAGCUGCUUGGUUGUUGCCUCGAACCUUUCUCGAGUUCUCCACGUCCCACCACCGGGCAACUUCUGAGUCCUGAGUCACGGUGGGCGGAGCCAGCAUGUUUUUCGAGGUUCAUUAACAACGAAUGGUAUCCAGUGCUCUCUCCAUCAUCUGCAGAGAUGUGUGAAUAAGAGUUAACGGAAGAAAGGAUCAAAUGAAGAGAGAGCAGGGGAAAGAAAGGAGGUGAGCCCGAGAUGGAGAGCUAACGAGGCAAAGAAGAGAGAAAAAGAUGGAGAGAAGACAGACAGACAGACAGAAGAAAAAGCAAGGGCACAAUAGAAAAGACAAAAAGCAAAACAACGAAAGAAAAUAGAAUAAAGUCAGUAAGAAAAGCCUUUUUCACACACUGCUGGCUUCACUUUUACAUUAACGGCUUCGUUCAGACACGUCUGUUUCUAUUCCACUUUGUGCACACGAGACAAUAAUACUGUAACAUACAAUAAUACAUUUAUUACAGCGAUCUCCGAAGGCGGUGACUCCUCUCCCUCAUGCACAGCCUUUACGUUACAACGUUCAGUUCAGACUUCAGUCGUGCUGAAAGCGACGCGGGAAGGUUUCAGGUCCGACCUGAGAGCCGGCCGCUCUGACUCGUGCUUAUUCAGACGUGAGGCCGACACGUUAAAUUACAGUCGGAUUGACGUAACGGGGGGCGGGUCUGACAGGAGCUAUAGAAAGCAGGAGAAAUGCAAGUAAACAAAGAAAGAAAAAGAGGGAAGAGAAGACGAGAGGGAGGGAGAGAAAAGGUCAGUGGACGGAUAAAUGAGCAGAAGCAGCGCAGACAGCGGAUGUGAGGGAGCUGACAGGUGAAGGCGGCCGAUCGAUGCCAGCCGGGAUCACGGAGGCAGGUUGACCAUACCUGCGGUGAGUCAUCGCUCUGUGUGUGCGACGAAGCGAAGAGAAGAAGAAGAAGCGGUGGUGGGGAGGGAAACCUGUCGUGUGUCACUGCUUUACAACGUUUUACUUUUUUCCCCCUCCCGUUUGAGUUCUCUGCGUUUCUCCAGGGAGAUGGUAUUUCAGCUGCAGCUCAGAAAACGAAUAAAGUUUUUCAUCGUUAAAGUUUGUACCUCUAUGAUUCAUUUACAAAUAUUAAGCCCUGUGCAACUUCAUACAGAUGUAAGCCCCAUUCAGACGGGAUUAAUGUUCCGCCUUGGUGGGGAGGCUAUUACUAAAAUAUUCACCGGUAAUUAUUUAUACAGACAGUUGCAAACUGCUUAAAUGGCCUUCUGAAAGCCUAUACUGUUACAGUAAGAUCUGGCGUCUGUGAAGGGACUGUUAAAGCUGGACACAGACAUGUUAAAGGCCCCCCUUUACAUAAGAGCAAGACACCCAGACUGAAAGAGACACAAAACAUAUAUGACUACAAAUCUCUCAGUAGUCAUUUAGCAUCUUUUCUGCGGACGCUUUGUGUCUCUUUCUAUGAGAAGGGCAGGAGAGAAAGAAAUAAGUUGGAAGUUGGAAAAUGGACGGCAGUGAUUGUUGGUCAAAUCUGCUCAUAAUGCUCUUUAACAGUACACUAGCUGGAUGUUGGGCUCAAACCUGUGACCUUUUCCCUCUGAGGGGCUUUUACUGCUUCAUUUUCAGUGAGAGAAAGAAGCAGAUUUUGUGUUCUCACACAGUCUGAGUGCCCAGCUGUGAAACCACAUCAUUCUCCUCAUGGUUUCCUAACUACAGUUUGUCUUUCCCUUCUCCACCCUCUCUCUUUCUCACAUAAUUUCCUCUGUUCCUUGUCAUGUUUGGACAGAUCGCAUACGGCGGUUUGGCCUAAAUAUACGCUGUGGUCAGGAGGUUUCUCAACACUUCUCCCUCUUCACCAACAAGUGCUGUUUCUGAGAACUGCGUCAGUGCUGAGAGGAUGAUCGCGCUCGUGCACACGAUAUUGAAAAUGAUGAUUAUGAUGAUGAAUGCAGUGCCACAGGAAAGGCUCAGUACAAAUAUCAGUUAGUGUGUACAAACCAUCCUGCAGAGUCAUGGUGGGUGUGGAGCUCUCUGAUGGUCUGGCCAAACCACCGAGGUGGGCGUUCAGACUGUGACAGGACCGAGGCUGCACUGGGAAAACCAGGACCUUUGACUCCACCACUGCUGUCAUACAAACUGAGUUCAUGAGCAGCAGAGAAGGAGCCUGGUCUCACUGAAUUGUACUGAAAUGAGUCGAAAGAUGAUGGAAAGAACAAGUGUGAAAAGUGAGUCAGAGGUGUUUGGAUAUGGAUCCAGAUGAAAUAAGGCUGAUGGGGACAAUGGUUCGGAUGGUCUGAAGCUCAAAUUAUAGUUUCCAUGUCUGCAAAGCUGCGAGGGGCUACGGGACAUUCAUUUCUGUCUAUCAUCUGUGGACAGACACCCAGUGUAGUAUAAGCAGGACGAUCGGUCAGAUCGGUUUGCAGUCAGCUUGUUUUUUAAGCUGGUCAGCCAGUUUUUAAGACGCACAAACAAUCGAAAUACUGUGAAAAACAUUUUAAUAAUUCGUUUUUUGAGAUAUUUUAAAAUGAAAUAAAUUAUAGCUUGUGUGAAUAUAUUCAUUCCCGAGUCAUUCCCAUGUUUUUCUAUUUAAAAAAAACCCUGAAAAAAUGGGAUUUACCCCAAAACACAUACAAACUUUAAACUAUCUUGAAAAGUCAAAGAUAAUCCCGGAAAAACCAGAAUUAAGCAGUUUGCAAACUUCUCUGUAAAGACCUGAAGCAGCUCAACACAAAAGCAGCAACAACCUUUGUUUUUAGAGACAAUUAAGAGGGCGUCAUCAGCGAAAACAUUCAUCCAAACCGAUGUUUGUUUACAUGAUGAUGUGUUUACAUUGUUAUUAAUAUCUGAGAAACAUUAAAACCCACAGCAAACAGCUUUUAUCCCGAGCAACACUGCUCUGUCUUUAAGUGAUGUUGGUGUAAUGUCACCACUGACACAACUGCCCUUUUAAUGUUUUUACUUUCAACAUACAGUACAAGGUUUUUAUUUGUAUUUAUUUAUACGUGGUUCAUACUCUCAUAUAUAUUUUAAUGCGCAGUGUUUUUGACUUGUAAUGUGAAGUUUAUAUUUAUAUAUGGGAAGUAUUUAUUGCAUCUUUUAAAUGGAAAUGACAAAAAAAUCAAUGGAAUGUAAACUGAGCUGAAAACAGGAGACAGAGACAAACUGGUGUUAAAUUACCUACAUGAGCAUCAGCUGGAACAAAUAAAUAACAGAUUGUUUAAA